RNAcentral lists this ribosomal RNA (248 nucleotides) under Staphylococcus aureus. Its description in RNAcentral is "partial 23S ribosomal RNA". It matches the Rfam family "Bacterial large subunit ribosomal RNA", at positions 1132 to 1359 of the family's 2925-position model. Lineage: Bacteria; Bacillati; Bacillota; Bacilli; Caryophanales; Staphylococcaceae. The record is from RNAcentral.
GCGUAAUAGCUCACUGGUCAAGUGAUUGUGCGCCGACAAUGUAGCGGGGCUCAAGUACACCGCCGAAGCCGCGGCAUUCAUGCAAUACAUUCCCUUCGGGGCAGUGGCAUGGAGGGGUAGGGGAGCGUCCUGCACCCAGCGAAGCUGCGGAGUAAUCCAGCAGUGGAGGGUGCGGGAGUGAGAAUGCAGGCAUGAGUAGCGACAGGCAAGUGAGAAACUUGCCCGCCGAAUGACCAAGGGUUCCUGGG